This 4226-nucleotide unclassified non-coding RNA is filed under the name Pogonomyrmex barbatus (red harvester ant). Its description in RNAcentral is "cyclin-dependent kinase 12, transcript variant X2". The record is from RNAcentral. Lineage: Eukaryota; Metazoa; Arthropoda; Insecta; Hymenoptera; Formicidae.
GUGUGUGUGCGCGCGCGCGCGCGCGCUUGGUAUGCACGUACGUGUAUGGUGUCGGUCGUCGCGCGCGAGUGUCAUGCAUUUCCAUGAUGAUCAGCCUCGAGAGCUCGAGUGUCGCCGAGGCACGUCGAAACAAUAACGUUAUUUCCAAUCAACGUAUUUCCGUUUUCCGUCGGGUAGGUGACAUGCCUAGCAGUCGUGAUAUUGAACGAGCCGAACGUAAUGGGAAAUUUCGUUCGCGAAGAAGGGGCAGCACGAGUAGCGACGUGAAUCGCCACAGUUUCGAUGGUAACGAUAAACGACACAGGAGACAUGGCAAAAAUAAGAGCUCUGGGAAGAAAAAGAAGAAACGUUCGCGUGAUAAAUCAUUAGAGACAGUUCCAACUGUAGCUUCGUCUGUUGUGAAACCAUUGGUCGAAUAUUCGGACGUAAGUAGCGAAGAUCUCUCGGAACCCGAAGCGGGAGAAAUACAAUCGGAGGAGAGUCGCGCCAAUAGUUACACAGAUGGAGAUGUACCUGGAUCACUUCUUCCAAGACGGUAUUAUGGUGGUAGCCCGGCUCGUACUCUUGGAGCGUCGCCCAUCAGCCUAUCUCCAUCACCGUCACUUCAGCAUCGACAUUCUGGCAGACAAUAUUCUUUAUCAAAUGAACAACAACAGACGACGAUGCACGGCGCGACACCAGAGUACGAGGAAGAGUCGAGACGGUACGCCCGACGAAAGGAAAAAAAGCAUAAACGCGAGAAGAAAAAGAAGAAAAGUUUGAGUCCGUCGUCGAAUUCGGGAAAGAAAAAGAAAAGAAAAUCUAAGAGACAUUCUCAUAGCUUGAGUCCUCGCGCUCUUAUCGAUGAAAUUAUUCCAAGUCCAAACCACGAGAAACAACCAUCAGCAGCCUCUGCCAAUUGGUCGGAAUCACCACCAUUACCAUUAAAGGACAACACGUCGCCAAUCUCACCGGCUACGCCGCGUGAACAGAGGUGUCCUAGCGACGAAGUUGAGCUGGAGAUAUCGAGGCAAACAUCUCGAAACGUGACACCACCAUCUCUUUUGUCAACGCGGCAGAUAGAAUCGCCGCACACGCCGUUAAUGCCUCCAUGUGCCACAACGCCGGAAAAUUUAAGUAAAGCUGGGUCCAUUUCCAUGCCGAAGCAGCAUCCCAGUCCAGAUCGGCAAAAACGUAGUCCCAGUAUUCAUGUAACACGGCGUGUCAGCGUCAGUCCCGGACCACCCGUCAGUGCAAACCGCAGAAGGCCGCAUAGCCCGAGUCCACCAUCAAGACGAAGAGAUCACAGUCCUCCGUCGCGAAGAAGAGACUUUAGUCCUAUUCCAACACUUCACAGACUUAGACACAGUCCCAGUCCGGCUACUGUUAGACGACGAGAGUUUAGUCCAAGUCCUGGCAGUAGUCACAGGCGACGAACCGACAGCGGAGUUGGUGGUUCUCCUAAACGUAGAAGACGAGACGAGUCUGAUCGACGUCAUCGUCUUCACGAUAAGGACAGGAGGGACAAGCGGAAAUCAAGAUCGACUAGAAGUCCUACUGGAAACAGAUUGCAUUUGCCUCUAUCACGAUCGCGAUCACGUAGUCCGGGAAGAUGGCGAAAGUUGUCUCGCUCGAGAUCACGUUCGCGCCCAAGAAGAAGUCGCACUCCAAAGAGAUCGCGCUCGCCCAGCAAGUCUCGCAAGACUUUGAGGAAACUCAAGUCGAAGAGUCCGCGUCCUAGAAUACCUUCUCCUUCUCCUCACAGAUCCCGAGCUAGAAGUCCCUCGAGCAUCACUGCCCGAAAUCUUCGAGUACAAGCUAAGAUUAGCGAAACCAGUCUGUUCGCGGAACUUGUCAAAGACCGAAAUAUGAGAGAGUUGGCAUAUAAGAAACUACAGGCCGCUAAGGAGAAAGUCGGGAGUCAAGAUGAGGUACAGAUUAUAGAAAGUACCGAUGAGAAAGAUGGCGAUGGUGGCAGUGUGGCAGCCUCCGAGAAUAAAGCUUCCAUUGACAAUAAGGACAGAUCUAUAAAUCACAAGGAGCAAUACGCAAAGAUUAGCGAUAACGUAGUCGACGUCACUGAUAUUCCUGUUCCGACGAGCGACGACGGUGCUGUAGCAUGCAAAACGCCACCGUUACCACCAAUUGGUGCACCACUACCCAAUUCGAUAUCCACUGCGGUAAAUCCACUUGCUUCUCAUGCGAUCGUGCAUUCAACCUCGCCCAAUCCACCAUCGAUGAUGCCCAACAGUUGUCCGAUUGUUGUAUCGCACAGUCCGAGUUUCCCAACUUCCGCAUCUGGAAUACAACCACAACCGCCACCACCGCCGCCACCACCACCACCAUUACCACUGCCGCAAUCCGCUGAAUCUGUGCCGGCAGUCUUGACGCAAGUAUCCGCUCCUAUACCCAUAUCGGUACCGCCAAUCCCGCCGACACCGAUUUUGCCUAACAUGUCCGUUCCACCGCCACCCAUUCCACCGAUUCCCGUCCCAGCUCCCAACACGAUAAUGUCCAAGUUUAAUCCACCCAAUAAUCUUGUACCACUCAAGUCUGUGGACCCUCCCAAACCUCCUAUAGUAACAUUUACGACCAAGAGCCUAAAGAGAUUACCAUUGCCACCUGGCAUUAAUCAGAAUGAUUUGGAAAGCAUAGACUCUCCGCCGAGUCGUUCUCCCAGUCCUCCCAGUAAAGCGCAGUUGAAGUUUCCAACAUCGACAAAACCAUUGCAGAAGAAAAGUAUCAAGGAUCUACCAAUGCCACCAGUCGUACCUGGAUCGGAAGAUUUAAGCGGAGAAGAUGAUCCAAACGCAACGCCGCCACGUUUAAAGGUCGAACGAGUGGCACCAAAGCCAAAAUUGAAAAGACCGAAAAUAUUAAAACGCCGAGGAUCACGCAAUUGCUACGCUCCUAUGUCGGCUUCUGAUGGCAAGGAUUGGGGCGAACGAUGUGUCGACGUGUUUGAGUUUAUUGCACAAAUCGGAGAGGGUACAUAUGGACAGGUGUAUAAGGCACGAGACAAGCGAUCUGGUGUAAUGGUAGCUUUGAAAAAAGUCCGACUUGAAAAUGAGAAGGAAGGCUUUCCUAUCACGGCAGUCAGAGAAAUAAAGAUUCUACGACAGCUCAAUCACAAGAACAUUGUUAAUCUUAGAGAAAUCGUUACUGACAAGCAAGACGCGCUGGAUUUCCGAAAGGAUAAAGGUUCCUUUUAUCUAGUUUUUGAAUACAUGGAUCAUGACUUGAUGGGCCUGCUGGAAUCUGGCAUGGUAGAUUUCAAUGAGAUGAAUAACGCUAGUAUUAUGAAGCAGUUGUUGGAUGGUUUAAAUUACUGUCACAGCAAGAAUUUUCUGCAUCGUGAUAUCAAGUGUUCAAAUAUAUUGAUGAACAACAAGGGCGAGGUUAAACUGGCCGAUUUUGGAUUGGCACGACUUUAUAACGCGGAUGAUAAACAGAGACCGUACACCAAUAAAGUGAUCACUUUAUGGUAUAGACCCCCCGAACUUUUGCUAGGAGAAGAACGUUAUGGGCCUGCAAUUGAUGUCUGGAGUUGCGGAUGUAUCUUGGGAGAAUUAUUUUCUAAAAAACCUUUAUUCCAGGCCAAUAUAGAUGUAAUGCAGCUGGAGAUGAUUUCGAGAGUUUGUGGGACGCCCACUCCUGCUGUUUGGCCUUCUGUGAUAAAAUUACCACAUUGGCAUACGCUUAAGCCAAAAAAACAGCAUAGAAGACGUCUGAGAGAAGAUUUCUCAUUUAUGCCAGGAGCAGCCUUGGAUCUCCUGGAUAAAAUGUUGGAAUUAGAUCCUAAUAAGCGGAUAACGGCGGCUGAUGCGCUUAAAAGUGCUUGGUUGAAAAACGUUCAGCCUGAACAGAUGCCAGCGCCGCAGCUUCCGACUUGGCAAGAUUGUCAUGAACUCUGGAGUAAAAAACGGAAGCGCUUGUUACGGGAACAGCAAGAGAGUGCUGCAGCAAAGUUGCCUCCUCUCCUUCCCUUUUCGAAUAAAGGUCCCAACAAGGAUGAUUUAUCAGACGUCGGGGGUCGUUCGAACACGACGAUGGCUAUAACGCAGAACAAUGGAAAAUAGAAGCACGAAACACCCUUCUCUGUUCGUGGCUUCGCUCUACAGAAAUUGUUUAUUCUUAAACAAUUGAUUUGAUAGACUAUAUGUGAGGAGAUAAUAUUAUUGUGGCUGAUAGAUGUGAAUAAUAGAUGGACAAAUUUUGUAGCACAUGUAAGAAUAUAUAAUAGGUAA